Molecule: ribosomal RNA, 624 nt
Filed under: Triticum aestivum (bread wheat)
Lineage: Eukaryota; Viridiplantae; Streptophyta; Magnoliopsida; Poales; Poaceae
Description: partial small subunit ribosomal RNA
Source: RNAcentral
AUGGGGACGCCGGGCGCGCGAGGGUUGUCGCGGCAGGGGGGUCGUCGGCGCUCUGCACGUGCUUCAAGUGAGCGGUGGGUGCUACAACCAGGGCUCACUGGGGUUCCCUAUGUUGUGAUGGAGCAUCACCAGCCGCCGGUGUUACAAUCAAGCAUCGCUGGGGUCCUUAAAAAAAUGAAGCAUUGCUGGGGGCUCAUCCGUGUUGCGGUGAAGCAUCUCGGGUUGUCGCCGGCGCGCAUAGCCCAGCUGAGCACGCCGCAGAGAGGGACCGGUGCUCCGAUACAGAACUUGCCGGCGGCUGCGUUGCUGCAAUGCAGCGCUCAUCGGCACUGCCAGAGCUGCAAUGCAACGGCCGUGACGCCGCAGAGUGGAAUAGGUGCUCCGAUGCAGAGCUUGUCGGCGUCUGUCGGGGCUACGUACUACACAGAGCUCGCGACGCUGCAGAUAGGCUGCUUGUGCUUCGGUGUAGAACUUUGUCGACGGCUGCAUUGGUGUGAUGCACGGUCGACGAGCUCGUUGACAUUUUGCUCAACUCAGCAGAGGGCUGGAGCUGUCCUGAUCAGCCAAAUCGGACGGCUGGGUAAGCGGAUGAUUUCUCUAGGAAAUCAUUCGGUCGACGCCUAG